This 1274-nucleotide long non-coding RNA is filed under the name Marmota monax (woodchuck). The record is from RNAcentral. Lineage: Eukaryota; Metazoa; Chordata; Mammalia; Rodentia; Sciuridae.
AUUAUUUCAAGUGGGGCUUGAAAUGAACAGAACCUCAGUGCCCUGUGCUUUAUACUAGACACACGUGUGCUCUUAUAACCCUAGAUGUCAGAGAGAAUGAGAUCCACAAUACUUAGAUAUGUAAUGGUUGAAUGUUUCUGACUUUUGAAAAAUAUUAUUUCUUUUUACAGCUUUAAUUAAUUAAUUAAUUAAUAUUUAUGUGGUGCUAAGAAUCAAACCCAGUGCUUCAUACAUGCUAGGCAAGCAUUCUACCACUCAGCUACAACCGCAAUCCCUCUCAUUUUGAUAUGAUAAAAUAUCUUCCACAUAUUUAAGAAGUUUAGUGAAUACCAAGAAGUACCACACUUAUGCAUGUAAUAAUAAAAUUUCUUAAAACCAAAAUUAUGAAAAUUACAAUAUUAGUGAGAGAAAAGUCAAUCUAAUGCUUGGGAAAAUGGUAAGAAUGACAGCUGAAUCCUCAUCACCACAAAGCAAGACAGCUGACAAUGGAUUCAGUGCAAACACAAUCAAAAACAUAAAUACCUCCUUUUCCCCGGGAAAGGCACAAGCUAGUUCCAACACACAGAACACAAGAUAGUCGAAAUCAUUCUGAAAAGGAAUAAACUAUCUCGGGGACUUGUAUUAUCUGGUAUAAGAUCAAUUACAACAAUCAAGGCACAACUAGCGAAAGAAUAGACAAAUAAAUCAAUGGAAUUGAUAGAAAGCCCCCAAAACAGAUGAUGACCAUCUGAUUCUCCAUAAAGAGGUCAGACAUUUCAACAGAGGAAGGAAGGCCUUUCAACAAAUGGUGCCUAAACCCUUGGAUAACAUGAAAAAUCAACUCCAACCCCUACCUUAGACUGUACUCAGAAAUAAAUUUAAGAUUCAAAGUAGACUAAAUGUAGAAGCAAGAAAUGUAAAAAAGCUUCUAAGAGAGAGCAAAGCAGACUCCCUUCACAACCUCGUGUUAGGAAGAGAUUUCUUAAAAGGCACAAGUGCGCUAACAAAGUUCAUACAUUGACAACUUCAUACAUCGUACUUAAACACAUCUGUUUGUCAAAAGACACUGUUAGAAAAAUUAAUAGGCAGGCCACAGAUUGGGAAAAAUAUGAGUAGCAUAUCCAGGAUGUAUAUAUAGCACACUCUUACAACUUAGCAUUCUCUCUCUCUCUCUCUCUCUCUCUCUCUCUCUCUCUCUCACACACACACACACACACACACACACACACACGCGGGUAGGGGUCAUAAAUAGGCAGAAUAUUUAACCAGAUACUUUACAAAAGGAGACAUAUGAC